ACUGCACCUGGAGAACACACGGAGGGAAGACCGUGUAGCUUGGCCAGUGAGCUAAGACUUUAAUGCGAGAGUGUGUGUUGUGCUGUGGCCUGGAAACCUGCUUACACCUGCCCUCCAGACUCUGGGCUCCUUGUGGAUGGUCCAACUUGAGAACAAGACUCUACAAACACCACCUCCCACGACGAAAGCCUGUGUCGACCAGAUGUCUCUGCUCCCCCUUCUCUGUGUUCUUGACAUCCCCACGGGCUCAGCGUCUGCAGAUUUGCUGUCUGGCCGGUACCCCCAGCAGGUGGAGGAUGGGGGUGUGCUGUCGGUCUGCAGCUCCCCUUUGAAUGCAGUUGGGGAGGACUAAUUGGGAAGGCCUUCGUGAACAUCUAAGAAUCCCGCACGAGCGCUUGUUAACUGGAGGGACAUGUGAUAGUUGAUCAGUCCCGUGUGCUGGGUUUUGCCCUUUUAGGCUGGGGAAUACCCAGAGGCCCCCACAUGCUUGCCCUUCCCUCUUUCUCCCGGUGACUUAUUUCCACUCCUUACUGUCCCCCGCUGCCUUUCCCUCCAGGUGACUAUCCACUAUGUUCUGUGGCAGAGUUCCCCUGUGCAUGAUAAAUAGUCCUCAUUUUCUUUUCGAGAGUCCCAUAGCCAAUAAAAAGCAAUAAAAAGCGAAAUGACACACAA
This is a long non-coding RNA of Neogale vison (American mink), 672 nucleotides long. RefSeq lists it as uncharacterized. Lineage: Eukaryota; Metazoa; Chordata; Mammalia; Carnivora; Mustelidae. The transcript has 3 exons. The record is from RefSeq and is a predicted model, not a curated record.